RNAcentral lists this ribosomal RNA (1708 nucleotides) under Triticum aestivum (bread wheat). Its description in RNAcentral is "partial small subunit ribosomal RNA". The record is from RNAcentral. Lineage: Eukaryota; Viridiplantae; Streptophyta; Magnoliopsida; Poales; Poaceae.
GCAGAAGGGUGGUGUCUGUAGAGAAAGCAGAACGUGCCGUUAGGGGUUAGUAGAGGAACGGCGUGGAGCUAAGAAGGAAAGAUGAGGAGGUAGGUUUGCGUAGCGCGUAGGGUGACCGAGCCGUCGAGGUGGCCACGGUCUCCUCUUCACGAGAGGACGCGGCGCGCGACGUAGAUCAUUGGGUAGCCUCGGCCUCUGCUGCCGCUGCUCGUGGCCCAUCCUUCUGCCGUUUGUGUUCCCGGUCUACGUGGGGAGAGGUACCGGCAAGCGUCCGUCUCCACACGAGCAGCGGAACAGGCGGCCGUUGACCUACGGAGGUACCGGCGGCGUAGGUACCAAUCAAUCAGGGGUACCGGUUCGACCUUAGCUGGUGCCACCGCUGCUCAAACACGACCUUGGUCCAUUAAAAAAACGACCUAGGUGGUUAAACAAAACGAUGUUGGGAAAGAAAAAAACGAUGGUAGGGGCAAACUAAAGCUACUUGUGAAAAACGACCUUGGAGAAAACUAAAAACGACCUUGGUGAAGAAAAAAACUACCUUGGUAGAAAGAGCCAAACGUCGUUAAACUCUCCUACUAACGGGGUAGUGACGGUACUAAAAAACUAUGUAGUUUAAAAACGACCUUGGAGAAACUAAAAACGUCCUUGAUCGUAAACUUAAACGACGUAUCCGAUACAAAUACGACCCUGCCGCUGCCUGCCGCCGAUGUACACAGAAACGACGUAAACAGAAAAACAACCUUAAUCGUUAAUAAAAACGAUGUUGUUCGGAGACUUCUCGACCUUGGCCGUUCUAACGAAAACAAACGUCAGUAGCCGUCGUCGCGUAAAAAACGACCUUGCGGUAAAAAACAACAACCUUAUCCAAAACCAAAAGCGACCUUGGCCAGAAUAAAAGACGAUGUUGCCCGAUUAACAAAACGAGGUUGUCUAAUGACCUCAAAAAGACAAAACGAAAAGAACGACUAAAAUGAAACGAUGUUAGCCGUACCCUUUUCGAAGUUGGCACUUUUUUUUUCGAAGUUGGUCUCUCCCACUCUUUUUCGAACCUGAUCGCUCUUUUAUUGAGAAGUUGGUCCGCGUGCGCUCGUGCACUACGGCCGGCCGACGUCGGUCGCCCCGUACCACUACGACGUAACUCGCACGAUGCUGCCUCGGCCGAUCAACGACGUUGCUGUCUCCGUAGACUGCACGAUGCUCUGCCGGGACAGGGAUACACCACCGCCGAUCCACGUUGCUGCUGGAGACGAUCUAGGCCGCUCUUGGCCACGUCGCUACCGCCGCUCGGCCGCCCCGAAGCUUCAGUCGCCGUCCCCGCCGGUACCGCCCGACGCACGCACACCGCCCCACACGACCUCUAAAAAAAACAUAACAAAAGGCGUACUACAUAGUCUCCUCCCUUUUUUCUCCUGGUCUAGACUGCCGUGACCCUUGAAAUUAGCAUGCCCAUACGCAACUGGCCGAGUUAAAACACGGCCACGGCCGCGGAUAAUGAGCUGAAAGAAAAUCCAUCAUCUCUUCUCUUUUUGCCACUGUGAAAAUAACUAAUUAUACCAUUAAGAAUCGAUUAGAUGUGGCAAUAUUAAGCCUGAGUACCCUAAUUGCCGAGAUUAAAUGAUUAAUUGCACCAUUAAAAAUCCUUCAAUUAAUCAUAUCCAUAUCUAUCUACAUUAUGUCAAGAGUCACAAGAACAUGUCUUUCUUCAGCG